GGUUUCGGCUUGGGCUCGGGCUUUGGUUCAGGUUUAGGCUUAGGCUCAGGCUUAGGUAGUGGUUCGGGUUUUGGUUCCGGCUUCGGCUCAGGCUUAGGCUCGGGUUUUGGUUUGGGCUCGGGCUUAGGCUCUGGUUUGGGUAGUGGUUCUGGUUUUGGUUCUGGCUUGGGCUCGGGCUUAGGCUCUGGUUUGGGCAGUGGCUCUGGCUUUGGCUCUGGUUUUGGCAAUGGUUUGGGCUUUGGUUCCGGCUUGGGCUCAGGCUUAGGCUCUGGUUUUGGUAGUGGUUCAGGUUUUGGUUCCGGCUUGGGUUCAGGCUUAGGCUCGGGCUUUGGUUCCGGCUUGGGCUCAUGCUUAGGUUGCAGUGGUUCGGGUAUGGGUUCUGUGCUUGGGUUCAGGCUUAGUGCUCGGUGCUUUGGGUAUCGUGCUUGGGCUCAGGCUUAGGCUCCGGUAUCGGCAUCGGUUCGGGCUUUGGUUCUGGCUAGGGCUCAGGCUUAGGCUCAGGUUUUGGUUUUGGCAUGGGCUCAGGUUUUGGUUCAGGCUUAGGCUCCGGCUUAGGCUCAGGCUUAGGUUUUGGUUCUGGCUUGGGCUCCGGUUUUGGCAGUGGUUCAGGCUUGGGCUCAGGCUCGGGUUUUGGUUCAGGCUUAGGCUCAGGUUUUGGCUUUGGCUCAGGCUUUUUUGGCUUUGGCUUUGGUUCAGGCAUAGGCUUGGGCAUCGGUUCGGGUUUGGGCUUUGGCUCUGGCUUCGUUAUGGGUUUAGGUUGAGGCUCAGGUUUAG
This 774-nucleotide long non-coding RNA is filed under the name Sorghum bicolor (sorghum). Its description in RNAcentral is "long non-coding RNA (SBIC_LNC013870)". The record is from RNAcentral. Lineage: Eukaryota; Viridiplantae; Streptophyta; Magnoliopsida; Poales; Poaceae.